This 499-nucleotide ribosomal RNA is filed under the name uncultured bacterium. Its description in RNAcentral is "bacterial SSU rRNA". It matches the Rfam family "Bacterial small subunit ribosomal RNA", at positions 74 to 645 of the family's 1533-position model. The record is from RNAcentral.
CCGCCGCGCGGCGGGCGGGGCGGGGGCACGGGGGGAGAAAAGCAGGGGAUCGAAAGACCUUGUGCUUUUUGAGCGGCCGAUGCCUGAUUAGCUUGUUGGUGGGGUAAUGGCCUACCAAGGCGACGAUCAGUAGCUGGUCUGAGAGGACGACCAGCCACACUGGGACUGAGACACGGCCCAGACUCCUACGGGAGGCAGCAGUGGGGAAUUUUGGACAAUGGGCGAAAGCCUGAUCCAGCCAUGCCGCGUGAGUGAAGAAGGCCUUCGGGUUGUAAAGCUCUUUCGGUCGGGAAGAAAUAGUUGCGGCUAAUAUCUGCAAUAAAUGACGGUACCGACAUAAGAAGCACCGGCUAACUACGUGCCAGCAGCCGCGGUAAUACGUAGGGUGCAAGCGUUAAUCGGAAUUAUUGGGCGUAAAGGGUGCGCAGGUGGUUAUAUAAGUCAGAUGUGAAAUCCCUGGGCUUAACCUAGGAAUUGCGUUUGAAACUACAAAGCUAGA